This 497-nucleotide ribosomal RNA is filed under the name uncultured bacterium. Its description in RNAcentral is "partial 16S ribosomal RNA". The stretch from base 13 to 382 matches the Rfam family "Bacterial small subunit ribosomal RNA", at positions 40 to 399 of the family's 1533-position model. The record is from RNAcentral.
GAUGAACGCUGGCGGCGUGCCUAAUACAUGCAAGUCGAGCGAACGGACGAGAAGCUUGCUUUUCUGAUGUUAGCGGCGGACGGGUGAGUAACACGUGGAUAACCUACCUAUAAGACUGGGAUAACUUCGGGAACCCGGAGCUAAUACCGGAUAAUAUUUUGAACCGCAUGGUUCAAAAGUGAAAGACGGUCUUGCUGUCACUUAUAGAUGGAUCCGCGCUGCAUUAGCUAGUUGGUAAGGUAACGGCUUACCAAGGCAACGAUGCAUAGCCGACCUGAGAGGAUGAGCAGGAAAAGGGGGAAGGAGACAAGGGGCAGAAGCGUAAGGGAGGCAGAAGUGGGGAAUAUUGGAGAAUGGGAGAAAGAAUGAUAGAGCAAUGACGAGGGAAGGAGGAAGGUAUUAGGAUGGGAAAAAAUUGUGAGUAGGAAGGAAAAGAAGUAAGAGAAUACAGGAGUGGCAGGACGGGACCGAAAGAAUAAGAAAAGGCUAAAUAGGUG